GACGAACGCUGGCGGCGUGCCUAAUACAUGCAAGUAGAACGCUGAAGGAGGAGCUUGCUUCUCUGGAUGAGUUGCGAACGGGUGAGUAACGCGUAGGUAACCUGCCUGGUAGCGGGGGAUAACUAUUGGAAACGAUAGCUAAUACCGCAUAAGAGUAGAUGUUGCAUGACAUUUGCUUAAAAGGUGCAAUUGCAUCACUACCAGAUGGACCUGCGUUGUAUUAGCUAGUUGGUGGGGUAACGGCUCACCAAGGCGACGAUACAUAGCCGACCUGAGAGGGUGAUCGGCCACACUGGGACUGAGACACGGCCCAGACUCCUACGGGAGGCAGCAGUAGGGAAUCUUCGGCAAUGGACGGAAGUCUGACCGAGCAACGCCGCGUGAGUGAAGAAGGGUUUCGGAUCGUAAAGCUCUGUUGUAAGAGAAGAACGAGUGUGAGAGUGGAAAGUUCACACUGUGACGGUAUCUUACCAGAAAGGGACGGCUAACUACGUG
RNAcentral lists this ribosomal RNA (495 nucleotides) under uncultured bacterium. RNAcentral's name for it is "partial 16S ribosomal RNA". It matches the Rfam family "Bacterial small subunit ribosomal RNA", at positions 28 to 507 of the family's 1533-position model. The record is from RNAcentral.